This 65-nucleotide transfer RNA is filed under the name Trichinella patagoniensis. Its description in RNAcentral is "tRNA-Ile". Lineage: Eukaryota; Metazoa; Nematoda; Enoplea; Trichinellida; Trichinellidae. The record is from RNAcentral.
GAUUAAGCAGGUGUUACCACUAAAAUACACUAUCACUGUACCCCUAUUAAUUAGGUUCUACUCAA